GGGACAACCCUCAGGGAGGGACAAAUAUUCACCAUAUACUGUAAAACUUUAACACACACCCACAAUUCCCUCCCCUAGCCGUGGAGAUAAUUAAGUCUGAUAAAAGAAUAAAUUAUCUCCGGGCUGAAAAAUCACUUUUUUCCCCAAUAACUGGAUCACCCCUUUAUACUUGGGGUAUCCCCACAAAUAACAUGUCCCCUGAUAGCCCUGAUCUGGGUGACCAACAUAUCCGAAUUUCACCCAGAUCCGUUCAGGGGUUCGCAAAAACUAUGGAUGUCUUCUGUGACCGGCUCACCCUGGGCUGUAUGCCCAAAACAGUCCCAUGAGUUUGGUGGGUUUUGCCGGUCACUUUAGAAAUAGGAAAAAAGCAAACAAAGUACCGAAUGGAUCCCUCUGGCUACUAGCAGCAUUCGUGCCCCUCUGUUGAAUGUACCAAAGUACCAAAUAGCGCUCUUCUAGCUAUUCGGUAACCCCUGACGAAGGUGCAUUCUCUAAGCACCGAAACACGCGUUGGGCGUUUGCCAAUAUUUACACUAGGCACUGAAUGGCACCCUAGCACUAUGAAUUGUACUUACCACAUUUUUCUUUGUUUUCUUUUCUUUGUAUUCCUAUGCCUGUCUAGUUAGUUUACCAGGGAGAGAGGCUUUAUAAUUUUAAAUUAAAUUUCUCCUACUCGUUUGUCUUUACCCUGGUAUUUUCUAGCCAGUAUCUCUCCACGCUACAUUGCUAUAUAUUAUUUCCAGGUAAUGCAGACAGACUGGGGUUUGUUGGAUAUCCUAAGUCUGCCUGCGUUUCUUCUCUUUUUUCUGUGGCAUUUUCUAUUUGGGGUUAAGCCCCGUUGAGACCCCUGGAGUCUCUCUGCGGUACUUAAGACUCUACUGUAUAGGUGUGCCCUCCCUGUCUUUUAGGGAGUUGGUACACACAGAUACAUGCACCGUCUUAAUUGUCCUUUGUGUUUUUUAGCUAUUCGGUAAGUAGAGUUCCAACGUUUGUCUGUUUGAGACCGGUGUUCAGGAAGUCGAGUGUCCAUUUUCAGUUCCAUACACUCGACGACCACGUCCCGCUGCCUUUGUUCGCAUGAACAAAGAUGGCAGCGGUUUUCUCUGCCACGUGGCGUUCGGCUGUACAAACGCUGGCCGCACAGACAGAGGUGGCAAUUGAAUCGGUCAUUGAUGUUUAACGAGCCAGAGGGGUGGUCUUUGUUCGGUAGUUACAUCUACCGAAUGCAAUGGGCAGAAAUAGUGUAAGAAAAGGGGUAUUUCUUCACACCCACCACUGUCAGCAGUAUAUGGUAUAGAUAAAGGGCACAGAUUACAUUAGUCAG
Non-coding RNA from Pelobates cultripes (western spadefoot toad), 1324 nucleotides. NCBI's taxonomy places the organism in Eukaryota, Metazoa, Chordata, Amphibia, Anura, Pelobatidae. The record is from the annotation of a GenBank genome assembly.